Molecule: long non-coding RNA, 793 nt
Organism: Nyctereutes procyonoides (raccoon dog)
Lineage: Eukaryota; Metazoa; Chordata; Mammalia; Carnivora; Canidae
Exons: 6
Source: RefSeq, a predicted model, not a curated record
UCCUCAAUCCUUGUAGAAGGAGUGGGAAGUUGGAAUCAGUGAUCAAACUGCUGCUCCACAGAGGGAGCCUCCCCUGAAACUGCACCAUGGACUUGGGCUAAAAAUGAGCCUAAAGGCCCUGACAUCAAUACACUACUAAUGGGAGCAAGGAACUGUCUUCAUUCCAGAACUGAGCUGAUACCUCCUGAAGGUGAAUCAACAGCUAUCUAAGGAGGAAGAGAUCAUUUCUGUUGUCCCACAUUCAACCUCCAUCCUGGACUGAAAUUGGUAUUGAACAUCUACUGCAUAGUUGCUGCAAUGGAUUAAUGAAUUAAGAAAUUAGCACCCUACCAUCGAAAGAUGAAUGGAUAAAGAAGAUGUGGUUUAUGUAUACAAUGGAAUAUUACUCAGCCAUUAGAAACGACAAAUACCCACCAUUUGCUUCAACGUGGAUGGAACUGGAGGAUAUUAUGCUGAGUGAAAUUUUAUUUAUUUAUUCAUGAAAGACACACAGAGAGAGGCAGAGACACAGGCAGAGGGAGAAGCAGGCCUCUCAUGCGGAGCCCAAUGCGGACCUCAAUCCCAGGACCCAGGAUCACGACCUGAGCCAAAGGCAGAUGCUCAACCACUGAGCCACCCAGAUGGUGAAGCUGAGAUUCACAAAGGGCAGAUGGCUGACCUGAAAACCCUCAGCUGGUUAGUGAUGGAAUCGACAUCCAAAGCAGACUGGCCUGAUCCCUGAGUGCUGUGGGGCCAUCUGCAAAGAGUGCUGUGCAGCCUGCUGUGAGCCCAUCAUGGAAUAACUGCCAUCUAG